CGAGGCGCGCACCACGCGGCCCCUUCCUCCAGGCAUUCGCACCACCCCCCACUCCCGUUGCAUGCUGGGAUUGUAGUUGAUCGCCUGCGAUCAACGGCCGGAAGCGGCUAAAACUACUCCUGCCUGCAUACCCCGCAGGAGCAAACCGCGCCAUGUCUCCCUCCAGGGAUCCGCACCGCUCACAAUCCUGUUUAGUGCUGGGAUUGUAGUCCUGCGAGCCUACGACUAAUAGCUGGGUGCGGAUAAGAGACUACAGCUCCCCCCAUUCCCAGCAAAGGUCCCUCCUCCACCGAGCUCCUCCAGGCUUCCAGUGCAGUUCCGCCGUGCGGAGGGAAGCUUGGCUGUUCACAAACCUCUCCUGCCCGCGAGGAGACAGCUUGGCCAGGGCGGCUGAUCUCACCUUGUCAUUGUGACACGGUGUCUCCCCAACGUGCUGGCUUCAUGACUUGUGCCCAGAGUUUGAUUUUCCACAGACCAGGUAGAGGCCAAGAGCCUCUCACAGACUCUGCAGCAGGGUUGCUAUGAUUAACUCUUAAGUACUCCACAACUACACGCUUUUGAAACUGGCGUUGGCAUAGCGUUAGUUCUGUGCAGGGCGGACGCAGCAGGACAGAAUCUCCCUGGGCAUCUUUUCGGAGCAUCAAUUUUACUGCAAAAUUUUGAAAAAACAAAUUUAAUUGAUUUCCAAGGUUUGUCAAGGAGGACAGAAACUCAGAGCACCCUGCACUUGGGGAUCGGCACUAGGAGCUGCUCUCUGGAUGGGGAGAUGGGAGCUAGCAGCUCACAAUGGGGUCACAAGGACCCUUGUGAUUAUAUUAAGCUCACCCUAGUAAUCCAGGAUAACCUCCCUGCUUUAAAGUUAAGUGACUAUAACCUUUAUUCUAUCUGCAAUGUUAUUUCCCAUUGCUGCAUGACCUAAUAUAUCUGCAGUCUGGGGAUUAGGAUGUGGACACCGUUGGAAAAGCAUUAGUCUGUUUAUCACCGAUCUUAUUCACUAUUUUUAUUAAAUAUUAUUCUGGCCAUCUUCUAAU
RNAcentral lists this long non-coding RNA (1031 nucleotides) under Homo sapiens (human). RNAcentral describes it as "uncharacterized LOC101929050, transcript variant 3 (LOC101929050)". Lineage: Eukaryota; Metazoa; Chordata; Mammalia; Primates; Hominidae. The record is from RNAcentral.